AUGGCGACAAGCACGCUUAGCACAGUUAUGGUGAGCAAUUUGUCACUGAAAGCAGCACUAAGAGAUGUAAAGGAAUUCUUUUCCUUUUCUGGCGACCUUGUGCAUGUUGAAAUGCAAAGUGGUGACGAGCUGUCUCAAGUUGCCUACAUUACUUUUAAAGAUAAGCAAGGAGCUGAGACAGCCAUGCUUCUGACGGGUGCCACGAUAGUCGAUAUGGCUGUCAUCGUAACACCAGCCACUGAUUAUGAGCUACCAGCUGAUAUUUUAGCUGCUCUAGAGCCCAAAGAUGCCAAGUCCUCUGCUCUGGAGAAGGCAGAGGACAUCGUUGGGACCAUGCUGGCCAAGGGGUUCAUUCUUGGUAGGGAUGCACUCGACAAAGCAAAAGCUUUGGAUGAGAAGCAUCAGCUCACAUCAACUGCGACUGCUCGAGUAUCUUCCUUUGACAAGAGAAUCGGUCUGAGUGAGAAGAUCAGCGUCGGUACUUCAGUCGUAAACGAUAAAGUAAAGGAAAUGGAUCAGAAAUAUCUAGUCUCCGAGAAGACAAGGUCAGCACUUGCAGCUGCUGAACAGGGCGUCUCCACUGCUGGAUCUGCCAUCAUGAAAAACAGGUAUGUCCUUACUGGAGCUGCAUGGGUAACUGGUGCCUUCAGUAAGGUUGCGAAUACCGCAAACGACGUCGGGGCAAAGGCGAAGGAGAAAAUAGCCGCUGAGCAGGAGGGCAAGACCGUAGCGGCCGGGUAUGCACAAGCUGACAUGUCGGACGCUCAUGAAAAGCCCAGGGAUUUGGAUGGUGAAAUCACAAAGAUACAUGUCUCUGAAAACCCUGAAGAUAUCCCCAUAUCUACCGCUGCAGUUUUCCCCAUUACAGUAGAGGAUUCCAGCGAUGCGUCUCCACCACCGCCCGCUGCUCCUAAGAAACCGGAACCUGCGCAGGGAUUGAUACUAUGA
RNAcentral lists this ribosomal RNA (948 nucleotides) under Triticum aestivum (bread wheat). RNAcentral describes it as "partial small subunit ribosomal RNA". The record is from RNAcentral. Lineage: Eukaryota; Viridiplantae; Streptophyta; Magnoliopsida; Poales; Poaceae.